This 77-nucleotide transfer RNA is filed under the name Bacillus anthracis (anthrax bacterium). Its description in RNAcentral is "tRNA-Asp". It matches the Rfam family "tRNA". Rfam says of the family: Transfer RNA (tRNA) molecules are approximately 80 nucleotides in length. Their secondary structure includes four short double-helical elements and three loops (D, anti-codon, and T loops). Lineage: Bacteria; Bacillati; Bacillota; Bacilli; Caryophanales; Bacillaceae. RNAcentral also lists the same sequence under 6 other names. The record is from RNAcentral.
GGUCCGGUAGUUCAGUUGGUUAGAAUGCCAGCCUGUCACGCUGGAGGUCGAGGGUUCGAGUCCCUUCCGGAUCGCCA